CAAUUUGACGAUUUUUGACAUGUAGCUCUGCCAGUGACACCCACAGAUAAAUUGAUCCAGUUCUAUCAGACCCAAGACAAAGGUUUUCAACUGCAUUAAAGGGCAAACGAAAACUGACCGAUGAGGCAAUCACUAGCACCACGUCUAAAGGGCACGGAAAUACAGCCAGGCAGAGUCAAGAUGUGCUGUAAAUAGAAACUACAGUCAGAUUUCAAAGACUGAAACCAAAAAGUGCAUUUUGUUUCACUAAUAAUUUGUGUAUUGACUCUGUUGAAAUGAUAAUAUUUUGGGAAU
Non-coding RNA from Callithrix jacchus (white-tufted-ear marmoset), 294 nucleotides. The record is from RefSeq and is a predicted model, not a curated record. Lineage: Eukaryota; Metazoa; Chordata; Mammalia; Primates; Cebidae.